This is a non-coding RNA of Nelumbo nucifera (sacred lotus), 2877 nucleotides long. Lineage: Eukaryota; Viridiplantae; Streptophyta; Magnoliopsida; Proteales; Nelumbonaceae. The record is from RefSeq and is a predicted model, not a curated record.
UAAUGAAAUUCAAGGUAUUCCAAAAUGGGAAAUAUUUUUCUUAUUCAGGAAUUAGAAAUCUAAAACCUCCUGGAAUGCGUGGAAAAUUUUAGAAGAGAAAAGGAGGAAAAAUUAAAUGGAACUCCGAUUUCAUAAAUUUUCCCACAGAAAAUCGUUCUUAUUGGCGACGAAUGGUAUUAGGCAGAAAAGUCGAUGAGAGACGGAAAGGCGCAGAAUAAAAAAUUGGAGAGACGAAUCAGUACGGUGACUCUGUGACCAGGACGGUAAUUACUCUCUUAAAAGUCUGUCAGCAAAUUCGCCACCAGCCGUCAAAUCAAGUACAGAGUCUGAAAAGUGAAAAGUUUCUGCACAGAUUCCAAGAGAAUCAGGAGAACAAAUCAGGGCGGACGGAUAGAACAAGCCGUUCUCUGUUCCGAUCAGGUGAUCUUCUAUUAUUAUUAUUUUUUCCAGUUUGUAUGAGUGGGAACGUAGAGAACUUGGGGACUUCGGGAGGUGGCCCCUCCCCGUCGACGCUUUCGCCGCAUGGAUACCCAACGACGCUGGCGGAGAAGCAGAAAGAGAAGGCUCGGGUGAGCAGAACGUCGCUGAUCCUUUGGCAUGCUCACCAGAAUGAUGUCACUGCCGUUCGAAAGCUUUUGGAGGAAGACAGGUCACUAGUUGACGCCAGGGAUUACGACCACAGGACUCCCUUACAUGUUGCUUCCCUUCACGGUUGGAUCGACGUAGCCAAAUGCCUUAUUGAGUACGGUGCCAACGUCAACGCCCAGGAUCGUUGGAGAAAUACGCCCUUAGCAGAUGCAGAAGGAGCCAAGAAACACAAAAUGAUUGAGCUGUUGAAAUCAUAUGGUGGUUCAUCUUAUGGUCAAAAUGGUAGCCAUUUUGAACCAAAGCCAGUUCGACCUCCUCUGCCAAACAAGUGUGACUGGGAAGUUGACCCUUCUGAACUGGACUUCUCAAAUUCAAGUGUCAUUGGAAAGGGAUCUUUUGGUGAGAUUUUAAAGGCAUUUUGGCGUGGAACACCAGUUGCCGUGAAACGCAUUCUUCCAUCUCUCUCUGAUGAUAGAUUGGUGAUCCAGGACUUCAGGCAUGAGGUCAAUCUAUUGGUGAAGCUGCGGCACCCUAAUAUUGUUCAAUUUCUUGGAGCUGUCACUGAAAAAAAGCCUUUAAUGCUAAUUACUGAGUUUCUAAGAGGGGGUGAUCUCCAUCAGUACCUCAAAGAAAAAGGUUCACUUUCUACAUCAACAGCCACAAAUUUUGCUUUAGACAUUGCCAGGGGCAUGGCCUAUCUACAUAAUGAACCAAAUGUCAUUAUUCACCGUGAUUUAAAACCAAGGAAUGUACUUUUGGUUAACUCGAGUGCAGAUCAUUUGAAGGUUGGGGACUUUGGAUUAAGCAAACUAAUCAGGGUUCAGAAUUCUCAUGAUGUGUACAAGAUGACUGGGGAGACUGGAAGCUAUCGGUAUAUGGCUCCUGAAGUUUUCAAGCAUCGGAAAUAUGAUAAAAAGGUUGACGUUUUCUCUUUUGCAAUGAUAUUGUAUGAGAUGCUAGAAGGGGAUCCUCCAUUGACCAACUAUGAACCUUAUGAAGCAGCCAAACACAUGGCAGAAGGUCAUAGGCCUGUCUUUCGUGCUAGAAGCUACAGUGCUGAACUGAAAGAGCUGACAGAGCAGUGCUGGGCUGCUGACAUGAACCAGAGACCUACUUUCUUGGAAAUACUCAAGAGACUUGAAAAGAUUAAAGAUAGCCUACCAGCCGAACAUCAUUGGAACUUCUUUAAUACAUAAUUUGUGGAAGGUGUGGGAGAUUUUCCAUUGGGUGAAAUAGGUUUUGGUGAAUGGAAUCCUGUAUCUUCAUGGUCAAUUUGCUACUUAUAAGAUGUGAGGCUUAGAUCUUUUGGUACCACAAAUAUCUCUGUCCCAAUAGGGUUUUGUGCUGCUCAAGGAGCUUGUAAGGAGGGUUUUGGUACCGAUGUCAGAAGUUUGUUUGGAAAGAGUUUCUCUUUCAUUACUUUGUACAACUGGUUAUUGUAAGGCUAAAAAGUCCUGCAUCAUCUUUGUCAUCCGCAAUCAUCUGUACCUACCUGUUUCUCGAGACAUUGGACAAGCAAGCAUUCCUGGUCUUAUGUUGUCUUCUGUAAAUACUGAAGCCUUUAUGCUGUAAAAUAGGGUUUGCUAUGAUUUUACUGAACUUAUUGAGAAAAAUUGUCCAUGAUACAUCCAUCAUAUAUGUUUGCGAGUCACUGUUGCAGUUUCCAAAUUUCUGUCAUAGAGAGGUCUUCUUUGGUCGGACAUGUAGCUCUGCGCCUCUGUUCUUUUAACUGGUAAACUCAUGAAGAUUUUGAUGGUACUUUGAAGUAAUAUAUUUGGUGCAUGUACCAAAACAGUACCUUCUCAUGCCAAUCUUUUUGAUAAUUCGAUCUCGUCUGGAAGAAAAUUUGAAUGCGAUCUUAAAAAAGAAAAGAGACAAAAGAACAGGAUUUUAACAUCAGAGGGUCAUGGCAAGCUAGAUGACUUUGGAAAGAAAUCCUGUUAGAGCUGUUUGAGCGAACAUUCUUGCUUCUUCCUUUUUUUUUUAAUCUGUGAAGCCCUUGGCCAUACAACAGAAGUCUGCAGUUCUUAUUUUAGGUCAUUGCCGGGACGAUGACAGAAACCGUCUGGACGAGCACGUCUGAUGAUCUUACCUGGCAUCACUCCAGAAUAGAAUUGGGUCCGCUGUCCGCAAUAGAUCAGGUUGAAACUUUUUUUAAAAAGAAAAUGUUUCAUUAUGUUUCAAAAAUAUAAAAACAGGAUUAACAGGAGUCUCAUUCGUGUUGUUCAAUUGGAAACAAAUCCCUUGACAUGAAGCCAAGGAUGCCUGAAUCUUCAAGCUUCUGUUAAA